RNAcentral lists this ribosomal RNA (1012 nucleotides) under Penicillium tricolor. RNAcentral's name for it is "SSU rRNA". It matches the Rfam family "Eukaryotic small subunit ribosomal RNA", at positions 84 to 1105 of the family's 1831-position model. Lineage: Eukaryota; Fungi; Ascomycota; Eurotiomycetes; Eurotiales; Aspergillaceae. The record is from RNAcentral.
AAACUGCGAAUGGCUCAUUAAAUCAGUUAUCGUUUAUUUGAUAGUACCUUACUACAUGGAUACCUGUGGUAAUUCUAGAGCUAAUACAUGCUAAAAACCCCGACUUCAGGAAGGGGUGUAUUUAUUAGAUAAAAAACCAACGCCCUUCGGGGCUCCUUGGUGAAUCAUAAUAACUUAACGAAUCGCAUGGCCUUGCGCCGGCGAUGGUUCAUUCAAAUUUCUGCCCUAUCAACUUUCGAUGGUAGGAUAGUGGCCUACCAUGGUGGCAACGGGUAACGGGGAAUUAGGGUUCGAUUCCGGAGAGGGAGCCUGAGAAACGGCUACCACAUCCAAGGAAGGCAGCAGGCGCGCAAAUUACCCAAUCCCGAUACGGGGAGGUAGUGACAAUAAAUACUGAUACGGGGCUCUUUUGGGUCUCGUAAUUGGAAUGAGAACAAUUUAAAUCCCUUAACGAGGAACAAUUGGAGGGCAAGUCUGGUGCCAGCAGCCGCGGUAAUUCCAGCUCCAAUAGCGUAUAUUAAAGUUGUUGCAGUUAAAAAGCUCGUAGUUGAACCUUGGGUCUGGCUGGCCGGUCCGCCUCACCGCGAGUACUGGUCCGGCUGGACCUUUCCUUCUGGGGAACCUCAUGGCCUUCACUGGCUGUGGGGGGAACCAGGACUUUUACUGUGAAAAAAUUAGAGUGUUCAAAGCAGGCCUUUGCUCGAAUACAUUAGCAUGGAAUAAUAGAAUAGGACGUGUGGUUCUAUUUUGUUGGUUUCUAGGACCGCCGUAAUGAUUAAUAGGGAUAGUCGGGGGCGUCAGUAUUCAGCUGUCAGAGGUGAAAUUCUUGGAUUUGCUGAAGACUAACUACUGCGAAAGCAUUCGCCAAGGAUGUUUUCAUUAAUCAGGGAACGAAAGUUAGGGGAUCGAAGACGAUCAGAUACCGUCGUAGUCUUAACCAUAAACUAUGCCGACUAGGGAUCGGACGGGAUUCUAUAAUGACCCGUUCGGCACCUUACGAGAAAUCAAAGUU